CACGGGAUGCCUCCUCAGUAAGGUCAGAAUGAAAGAUCCAAAUCUACAUAAAUGACAUGAACCAUCGAAAUCCUACUUUCUCAAAUCAUAAACAAGUUCUCGAUGAGCGUCCAUUGGUCAUUAAAAAGACAUUAUAGUAAUGUUUAUCAUCUAUUUUUUCUGCAAAGAUUAAAUUUAAAUAAAUGUCUGGAGCAUGUGGUAGACAUUUUGAAGAACUAACGUUGAAUCAUUAUUAGUCUUCAAGCAAAUUGCGCCAACACCAAUUACUUUAACCUCCUCAGUAUUGCCCAUGUCUGAUGACAUUCUAAAAUCACCAAAAGUAUAAGAGAAGUCUUUCUUCAAUUUGAUAUGAGAUUGUAGCUCCAAAACCUACUAUGAAAUUGAUCUUAUGGGAUACUGAAUUGAUGAUAUUUUUGUGGUAGGCAAAGAAAAGGUCAUGUAGAAUAACAUCAACAACAUUGUUCCUGUUAUUUUCAUCUCUCUCUCCUCUAAUGUCUUGUUUAAGCUUAUAGGUAAAUCUUCUCGUAUGUCCUUUAUUACCACAAUGAUUACACAAAUAAUUUUGGUACCUAGACCUACUUGUUUACGCUUUUAAUACUAAUACCCUAUACUUCUUGUUUUAUCUCUCCUUUGAUCUUCUAUAAAUAAAAUAUCUAACUGAGAGGAUGAACCCUUGCCAUUAUCCUUACUUUCUCACUCAAUAUUACACUGUUUUUGGUAUAUCUCAUGGUUACCCUACCACUAUUAAGUUGAAUUUGUCAAAGUAACAGAAAGAGUUUUCCAGGACCGGACAUAAUGUUAAAAAUUCACAGUAAAUGUACGACAUUAUUAAAAUUAACACACGUUCUAAAGACAUCUUAUUCAAGAAUAAGAUUAUAAAUCGUGUAUUUAAAAAGUUCAUAGAUUGCUUUAGCAGGAAACAAUUGUCAUUAUCAAUUUUUAAGCAUGUAGUGUCUAGAGAUUCUUCCACAAUGAUCUUGUAUGUUUCUCAUUCAUAAUAUAGUUAUGAAAAUUGUUUUUCAACCCAUUGUUUUAUAGAUCUAAAAGUUUUUUGGUGCUCAAAAUCUCAAUUUUCACAAGCAUAUAUUCGAGCUUAGGAACAACAAAAAUGAAAAAAUGCAUCUUCGACAUUUGAUGAUCUAGCUUGAAUAACAUUAUAACUACUACUAUUUACAUAUACCUUCUUGAUCAUAUUCACCUCCUUCAAUUAAAAUUCAUAAAAAUAAUUAAGGCUCUAAUAUCACUAUUACGUCGAAAAGAGGGCAAAUUCACAUAUAUAGAGAAUGAAAUUCCUUCAAAUUGAAGGUAAAUCCACAUAAAAUGGAGAUUUAAAAAGUCUCACUAUAAUAAAAGGAGGGUUAUAAAAGUUUUUCAAAAAUGGCGACUCAACAUGUGUCAAGCACAACAACAAUUGCAGUAACAAUUAAUUAAAGAAAUCAGAGAAAUAAAUCAAAAAUGACAUUGUUGUUCGUGGUCAAAAUUUGAAGUUGCAUGCCUCGAAAUUCAAUCUCCGCCUUUCAAAUUCAAGAACCAGAUGUGAAGAACUUUCAUUCAAAAAUCAAAUCGAUCCAAUGAUGAAAAGAAACAACAUAUCCUCUUUUUAUUCUUGAGUAGUUGCCUUCUCAAAUCUCUCUUAUGAAUAUAGCUUAUAAAUUGUUUCUUCUCUUAAAUACAUAAUCAAUUUCAAAUAGGAGUCAAAAUCCGAAUAGAAUGAAGUUAUACAGACCUUGGUUGGAUUGUUAUGAAAUAACUAUUAUAAAAAUAAUAAUGAAGAAAAAAGAACACAAUUUAAUAUGGGAACUCCUGAAGGGCCAGCUCUUAAUAUUUUCCAAUAAAAGAUGACAUAAAUACAUCCACGUAAGCCAUGUCUACAUUAGCUGCGAAAAUCCUUGGGGUUUGAUCCAAAGUAAUUUUUUCAAAUAACAUAUGAACUAAGAAAUCCUAACGUUUAUACUGCAGCCCCUUGAUUUGUCCAUCACAUCUCAAACUUCACUGUAGUUAAUUUAUUUUGUUAACAUAUCUACAUGACUCUCAUCUGUGUGAAUCUUAUUCAACUUGAAUGAAUCUUUAUCUUCCUCUAAGAGUGACUGAAUGAAAUGAUACUUAAAUGGGAUUCACCCUUGAAUGAUAAUGUUCAGAUCAGAGCUCUUUGCUAAUUAAAUGACAAUUGGCUAUUACUGUUCAGCCUGCAUUCCAUUCUUUACCAAUCAAGUUUCUUCAACAAGCUCUUUAACCAAAUCAUCUCUUUAUACUAGUUGGCUAGACGUGCUACGUACGGUCCCAAUUGAUACUUAAGAAUUCUACUUAUGUGUAAUUUUAUCAUUUAAUUAAAAAUUUUAUUCAUUUAGUUAAUAAAUUCUAAGUUAGACAUAUAUUAUUAUAUUUAGAUUAAAGAAAUUUGUAUAAGAAUAUUUUAAGUUGUUAAUGACACUCAUAUAAUUUCGAGAUCAAUCAAUUUUAAAAAAAAAAAUAUCUACAACUGUUAAUUAUUGUAAUUUAUAUUACUUUUCACAUAGUAAUUAUGAAAUAUAUGAUAAAUAUUUUAAUUUUAUUAUUUCCAUUUAUAAUAUUUUUAAUGUAAUUUAAUCAGUCAAAUAAAUUAAAACGGAGAAAAAUAAAAGAUUUUUCAAAGUAGACCCAUGCUUAGCAGGCAUGUCGAUGGAGUGGAGCUUGAGCAGCUCCACUCACAUCGGAAGUUAAUUUAUCAUUUUAUGUCUAUUUGACUUUUUUAUUAAAUAUUAUUUAUUUUUUAAUACUUAGAUAACUUAUAGUAAUUAAUUAGAAGUGAUAUAAUAAAAUUACGGUUGAAACAGCUAAAGUAGACAUGUCAUAAAUGUCUAUUUUACCUUUUUAUUAAAUAAUAUUAAUUUUUCUAAUAGGUCAAUGACAUAUCGACCUUUUUUAUUAAAUAUUAUUAAUUUUUUAAUACAUAGAUGACUUAUAAUAAUUAAUUAGGAGUGAUAUAGUCAAAUUACGGUUGCUAAUACAUAAAUGACACAUUGACAUUCUUUAUUAAAUAUUAUUAAUUUUUUAAUACUGAGAUGACUUAUAAUAAUUAAUUAGGAGUGAUAUAUUAAAAUUACGAUUGAAGUAGUUGAAGAAGACAUGUCAUAAAUGUCUAUUUUACUUUUUAAUUAAAUAUUAUUAUUUUUUCCUAAUACGUAAAUAACAUAUAAUAACUAAUUAAGGGUGAUAUAGUAAAAUCAUGAAACAAUGAAACACGCAGAAAUGUUGACGGUCUUGUGUGUGCAUCAGCUGCUACACCGUGGCUUCUUAUAUAUAGGAGAAUAUGUUUAUGUUGCAGCCACAUAUAUGUUUUGCCUAACAAGGCAUGCAGUGAUAUUUUGCAAUCUCAAGCUCCUAUUGAGUGUCGCAUUUCAAAAGUAAACAAAUAGCCAGUAGUACUCCUACCAUUAACAUCUCUAGCCAUAUUUGAAUCAAUAAAAUCUUUUAAAAUGAUUCUACCACCUGUAUAGAAAAAUAAAUACUUUGUCAUUAACAUGUACCUCAGAAUCCACUUCAUAACAUUUCAGGGUUUUAUAUUAGAAUUUGACGUGAAUCUACUCAUUACUCCCACGUCAUAGAAAAUAUUCAAUCUAGCAUAUGUCUAUAUUCAAUCAAGCAUAUGCCAUAGUAUACAUGAGACUAUCCACACCUAAUGUAAAUGGUAUCUUCUCCAUUCAACUCUUUUCUUCACCAGAUUUUGAGCUGAGUUGCUUUGAGAUGUUAUUUAAGUGACCUACCAAAGGAGUUCUCACCGUCUUGGCAUCCUCCAUGUUAUACCUCUUCGAGAUCUUUUCAAUUUCAUCUUUCUGAUUCAACUUUAACAACUUAUUUCUUCCAUCUCUUCAAUUUUUAGCCUUAAAAUCUUUUUCACAAGACUAAUAUCCACCAUUAAACAAUCGCUAGCCAUUUGCUCCUUCAUCUUGUGAUCUCAUACAUAUUAGAACUUGUCGCUAAUAUGGCAUUCACGUACAAGAGUAAAAUAAUGUACGAAUUUACAAACUUCUUAAAGUAACAAUAAUGAUCACCAUUACACCAAGUAAAGUCAAUAGUCAUUAUAAACCCAUCAAAUUUUAAGUUGCACCAUCUUGGUGCUUGAUCAUGUUGGGAUGGAAAUCAAUCCCACAUUGGAAAAAUAGAGGAAGAAUGUCAUAUAUCUAAGUGCCACACAACUCCACUUGUAUGAGGCCUAUUGGAGAAAUAGAGGAAGAAUGUCAUAUAUCUAAGUGCCACCCAACUCCAUUUGUAUGAGGUCUUUUGGGAGGCGCCCAAAAACAAAUUCGUGAGGGCUUGGCCCAAAGCGGACAAUAUCAUACUAGUGCGGAGUUCGGGUGGAGUUGCACGCGGUCCUAACACGAAACAAAUCCGUGAGGGCUUGGCCCAAAGCGGACAAUAUCAUACUAGUGCGGAGUUCGGGUGGAGUUGCACGCGGUCCUAACACGUGGUAUCAAAGCGAGGUUAAAAUCGGGUGUUCAUCUUGUCAGAUUCAGUUCUAGUCGCAACCUAUUUGAGUAUUACUUUGUGUAGAGGCAAAGGAGAUUUUGGAGAUGGAGAUUGAACUUAUUGAAGACUACAUGAAGAAGGUGGAGUAAAUUUAUUUUAUCAGAAAUUCAGGCCAAGGGAGAGAAUUGUUGGUGUUUGUCUUGACUUUCUUACCAUAUUUGGGUUUUCCUUUAGGUACCAUAAUUGGGUUUUCCUUUUGGAAAAAGGAAAAUAUAUUCUUCAUAUUUGGCUAAUCCUUAUUCUCGUAGGAAAAGGUUAUAAACUCUAUAAAUAGAAACUCCUUUCUUCUAGUUUUGUAGUAUCCACAAUGUAUUCCUAGGGGUUUGAGAGUUUUGUUUGGGGGGACUUUGUGAGACACAAGUGUUGCGGGAUCACUCGUGUGAGCCUCUUUUAUUCUGAGUGAAUUGUGUGAGGUUGUCUCUCUUGACAGUUUGUACUCUCUUUUAAAUAGUGGAUUGCUCAUCUCCUUUUGUGGAUGUAGGUCGAUUGACCGAACCAUGUUAAAUUAUUGUGUCUCUUUUGGUGUAUUUCUUGUUUGUUUCUUAUUUGGCGUCUUUCGAGGUUUGCUUUACUAACUUCCACAUGAAACCUGAUUGUUUCGGUCCUAACAAGUGGUAUCAGAGCCCAAGUUUGGGUGUGUCAUAGUGGACUACGUGAAGUUCCCGGUGUGACAACAAGACUAGAGAUCUGCAGGUGGUGCCUUGUGUCGAAAGUCUUCCUGACGAAUGGUUGUCAGGCGGUGUGUCCCGUGUCCCGUUGGGUGUUAACGGCGGUACAAGAUGUUUGGCAGAUCAUGUGAAGUGACCUAGUAGUUGAGAUCUACGGUUGAUGCCUUGUGUCGAAAGUCUUCUUGACAGUCAAGCGGCGUGUCCCACUGGUUGGUAGUGGCGGUACAAGCGGCAUGUCCUCUUCAAAUGAAUUAUCGCUAAAGGGGAGGUCACAAGUUGUGUGGUCUUGGUUUGAGGGAAGGAUUGUUGGGAUGCAAAUCAAUCCCACAUCGGAGAAAUAGAGGAAGAAUGUCAUAUAUCUAGUGUCACCCAACUCCAUUAGUAUGAGGCCUUUUGGGAGGUGCCCAAAAACAAAUCCGUGAGGGCUUGGUACAAAGCGGACAAUAUCAUACUAGUGCGGAGUUCGGGUGGAGUUGCACGCGGUCCUAACAGAUCAAACCAUAGAAACUCUUCUUCAGUCUACACAUCAGAUUUUUCUUAUCAACCUCUAUGUACCCUUUAGGUUGCUCCAUAUACGAAUCUUCCUCUAGAUCUCCGUGAAAAAUAUUAUUUUACAUCUAGUUGCUCUAAAAGUAUAUCUUAUGCCGCAACAAAACUUACACAACUCGAAUAGUAGGAAAUUUUAACCACAUGAGAGAAAUAUCAGUUAAAUCAAUACCUACAUUCUGUUGAAAACCUUUUACUACCAAAUUUGACUUGUAUCUCGUUGAGCCAUCAUGAUCCUGUUUAACCUUGUACAUCCAUUCAUUCUGAAUUAUCUUCUUCCCCUUCUGGCAAUUUGACCAAGUCCCAAGUUUGAUUUAUACGAAGUGAGUCCACUUAUUAAUCUAUGACCUAAAUUCACUUUGACUUGUUAUCAACCUGCAUUGCCUUAUUAAAAUGGCGGCAAGGUUAAUCAACAUCUGUUAGUAGUAAUUAAUAAUGGACAAUUUCAUCUGUUAGGAGACCUUUGUAUUAGAGACCUUCACAACAAAAUGAGUGCCUCUAUUAUUUCUUGUUAGUCCUCCUCAUGUGCAUCAGAUUUGCAUCAUUCAGUUCAACAUUAGUGUUCUUGUCGUCUUUAGGUUCAGCAAAUACUGAUUUUAUUUGUUUCUAUUUCUCCUUGAACUUGUCCUUAUGCAGAACACUUAUAUUGAACACUACAGUCUUCUUGUCCUUAUGGAGAACACUUAUAUGGAACACUACAGUCUUCUCUUUAUUACCUUUUGGUAUAUUCAUAAUCCCAGAGUAUAUUUACAAAGUUUCCAUCACCAUAGCCUAAGAAAGUGCAAACUUUGGACUUUACAUCUAACUUAGAUCUCGUAAUAGCAUUCAUAUAACAUAGGGAAAGCAUCAAAAACUCUAUAUGCAAGAGUUUUACCUCGUACUUGUCCAUACUUCUCGAGACAAUUCACAUGUUACGGGUGUUGAAGGUUCUUAGUUGAUCAAGUAUGCAGCAGUAUUCACAGCUUCAACCAGAAACAUUUAGCUAAUCUGACACUAAUCAUCAUGAUUCUAGCUCUUUUAGCAGUGGUUCUGUACAUUUUUUUAGCUAUCACAUUCUAUUGUGGUGUAGCCAAAAUAGUCAGCUCUCUUGUGAUUCUGUUUGCAUCACAAUAGUCUUUAAAUUGCUUGUUGCAGUGCUUACCUCCAUUCUCUAGCCUUAUGAUUUUCAGCUUCAUACUUGUCUCAUUCUCAACCAGAGAUUUUCACUUCUAAAAGAUGUCAAAUACCUCAUAUUUAUCUUUCAUGAAAUGAACCCAAAUCAUUCUAUUGUAGUCAUCAAUAGAAGUAACAUAAUACCAAGAGUUAUUAAUUGAAGGUACCUAGGAUGGUCCCCAAAUAUCUAUGUGAACAAGUUCCAUCUUUUUAAUUCUACGACUCAUAUUUAUUUAGAAAAGCUGACUUUCUUCUGUUUUGGAAAACAGUCCUUACAAAACUAAUCAACAGAAGUUACUCUAUCCAAUUUCUUUUUGAGAUCAUUACCUUUAUUCCCAUCACGUUCAUGUGCUCAAGCCUCGUGUCAUAAACCUGCAUCAUUCUCUGAAAACGUCUUAUUAAUGCUACUUAGAGAGCCAUCCUAAGUGGGUGUUAUGUACAUUGUCUCAUCUAUCUUCCCUUAUGCUAUCACCAAAUUAUACAUGGUAAUCUUUCACAAAUUUUAAUUAAAAGUGACAACAGAACCAACAUCUGAUAAGUGACUAACAAGAACCAACUUUCGUGAUAAUUUUGCUACAUGUCAAACUUUCUUCUGUUUCAGCUUUUCACCAUUCAUCAAAUUCAUUUUCUCAUACCCCUUCCCAACUAUCUCACUGGGUUCAUUUUCUCCAAGAUACACCUUGCUAAAAUUACUAUAUUCAUAGUUGGAAAGGUACUCCAUGUUUGAAGUAGUAUGAACAUGCUCUAGAAUCUAAUAACCAAGAUUCGUUCUCUAAAACACAUGUGAGUACUAAAGUUUUCUCAAGAUGAUAUGAUUAAUUAGUAUAAUUAAACGAAUCUGAUGAUGAACCCUUGUAGUUCUUCUCAUGAUGAACCCUCGUAGUUCUUCUCUUAUUGCUUGGCAGGUGUCUUGCAAUAGAGUCUCUUAUGACCUGGUUGUCUGUAAUUCCAACAGAAAGUAGGACCUCCUUUGUUAAUUAGAUGGUUGUAUAGACUUAGAACACGACUUUCCUUUGUUAUUACCAUCCUUUUGACUAGUGCCUCUUUCAUCCAUGCUCAAUGCAAUACGGGUACUAUCAUUAUACAGUUGAAAGUUUCUUUGUGACUCCUCAGUCAGCAGAGAACUCAGAAAGUCUUCAAACUCAAUCCUGCAACCAUUGAACUACUUAUGGGCAUCACUAGAUCAUCCCAGCAAUUGGGCAAGCUUGAUAGAAUCAAUAAAGUCAUGAUCUCAUUCAUAAAGUUUAUUCCUGCAUACUCUUUCUCGUGACAGUAUUAAAAUCAUUCAAAUGCACUUCCAUAGAUUUACCCUUAGUCAUCUUCAUAUUAGAUAGUUUUUUCAUUAGGAAUACCUUAUUUGAUGUCAUGGUUUUUCAUACAUCCUCCUCGAUGCAUCCAUGAGAUCCUUGGUUGUUUUCUCCUUGGAGUUGUAGAAGGCAAUUGAUGAUGCUAGCGAUAGAUGAAUUGCACCCAAAGCUUGUCGAUCCAGCACAUCUCACUUUGGCUGUUCCAGUUCUACCGGCUUCAUUCCUCCAAGAGACGGGUAAAGAUCCUUCUGGUAGAGGUGAUCCUCUAUCUGUAUCUUCCAAAUUCUAAAAUUAUUUUCAUUGAGUCUCUCGAUAUGUAUCUUCCCUUUGCCCCCCAUCGCUCACACCUUAAUUGAGCUCUGGUACCAGUUAUUAUGAGACAACGAUUAAUGAACGUAAUAAUGACAAAAAGAAAGAUCAUUCAAUUUAACGUGGGAAACCCUCAAAGGAAAGAAAACCCACGGCCAAUUACCAACUCUUAUUAUUCCGCAAUGAAAGAUGAUACAAAUAUACCAAGUAAGCCAAGUUUAUAGGUCGCGAAAAACCCUAAUCCUAGAUAGUUUAGGAUGUUCUCCAAGUAAUUUAAAGCAGCCUAUGAAGUACUUAAUAAAUCCUAGACCCCAGUCCUUCAGCCCCUUGCUACGUGCAUCACAGGGGGUUGCCUGAUACAAUGUUGAGAAGAAGGGAUUAAAUAGGAAGAAAGAAAAUUGUUACAGUAGAAUUUAAAAGUUAGGUAUUACUGUUCAUUGUUCACAAAAUUAGUUACUAUUGUUCCAAGUUGUAGUUAUUCUGUUAGUUAGCUUAGUUGUCAACUGCAGCUAAUGAGGUGUAUAAAUAACUGAUGUAAGCUACUACUUGAUUCAUUCAUUCAUAAUACAAUCUAUGUCCUUCUCUCUCAUUCUUCUUUCUCUUUACUGAUUUUAUUGGAUAAUUGCCUGAAAUUGGUACCAUCUUCGUUGAGGAUUAUUCUCCUAGAUUGACACAUUUCGCCCAAAUUCCUUGUUCUUGCAUCAAUUUAUUUCAGAGCCAGUCAUUUCUCGGCUCAAUCAAUCAUGGUAGUUCAUGAUAAAAACUCAGACAAAUCGAAUGAGGAAGUCGAUGGUAAGCUUUCUCAGAUUCAAGAUCAGUUGCAGAAAUUAAUGGAGGGAGUGUCGAGCAUUUAUGAAAGAAAUGUUCAAGCUGAUAAAGAACUAUUGGGACUCAAGGAAACCCUGGGAUCGUUGAUGUCCAAGGAGAAAAAAAGGAGCAGGGAAGAGCUGAAUUUUCCACCAUCAGAAGUUGUCCAGUUGGGAUGCAAAAUAAUAAAGGUUACAAUAAGGAUUUCCAUGGAGCUAGAAAUUAUGGUAAUGGACAAUUUUUUACUCGAUUCUCCAAAUUGGAGUUCCUUCAUUUUUUUGGUUGUGAAUUACGCACUUGGUUAUACAAAGUUGAUAAAGUCUUUUCUAUGAAGAAAAUUUCGUUUGAAUAGAGGGUGAAGGUGGCUUCCAUCCAUUUGGAUGGUGAAGCUAUUGCAUGGCAUAGGUCGUAUAUGAACUCUAGAAAUACUACUUCUGAACUCUCAUGGAUUGAGUAUGUGUUAUCCCUAAAUGAGAGGUCUGGGGAUGGAUUUGAAGACCCAAUGGAGGCUUUGAAAAAUUUAAGGCAAACUGGCAGUGUUAGAGAAUAUCAUGCAGAAUUUGAUAGGUUAUUAAAAGCAGUUAAUCUAUCAAAUGAGAAUUCUAGAAGCUGUUAUUUAGGGAGGUUGAAGCCAGAGUUGAAUAAGGUAGUCAAGAUUCAAGAACCCAAGACCUUGUCCCAAGCUUACAAGAUUUCAAGGUUGCAGGAAAGGGUGUUUGAGGCUCAAGCUUAGACCUGGGGUUUUAAGCAGGCUCAAAAGGGGGUUAAUGCAAUCUUACCAGCUCCAAAUCAGUUUAGGCCAUCCAAUUACCAAAAAAUCUCUACAUAUCAUCCUAAUGUAGCUAAACCUAAAAAUUUUAGAAGGUUCACUACUACUGAAAUAGAUGCAAAAAGGUCUAAAGGUCUGUAUUUUUUUUGUGAUGAGAAAUAUGUUGGACAUAAUUAUAGGGCCAACAAACUAUUGUUUAUGGUAGAAUUGAUGGAUGAGAGUAUGUCUAAUGAAUGGGAAGGACCUGAAUUGAUAGAAGAAGUUUUCGACAUUCCCCAAGGUGAGGAGGAACUGAUGACCAUCUCAUUACAAACUUUUACUAUGGCUGUUGGAUAUCAGACAAUUAGGAUCACUAGUUAUCAUGAGAAAAGACCUUUACAAGUCCUAAUUGGCACUGGAAGUACCCAUAACUUCAUUGACCAAGGGGUGGCCAAAAAGUUGGGUUGCAAUACCAGUAUUAUAGUUGAACAAUCUGUUAGUGCGACUGCUGGAACACAAGUGCAAACUGUAUCUGUUUACAAGAAUUUGCAGUGGUUGUUACAAGGUACCACAUUCUUUUCUGAUUUUUUUUGUUACCCUUGGGUAAUAUGGAUAAUGUUCUGGGGGUGCAAUGGUUAAAUACACUUGGUAAAAUUCUGUUUGACUUUAAGAACAGGAUAAUAGAAUUUAUGUAUCAGGGGAACAGGUAUGUGUUGAGAGGUGCUACCAGUCAGCUUAAGUCCUCUAAGGCCAACUUUUUGAUCAAGAAGAUGUAAACUAAGGCUACCUGAUACAUAAUAGAGAUGGCUGAUACUACAAUAUCAGAGAUAUAUUGUCACAACAUACAAGCUACGCAAGGUACGAGCCUACAUCCUACAUUAUUUGCAUUGGUGAAAUAAUUUUCUAUUAUCUUUGAGCCACCUACUACAUUACCUCUACAUAUAGGAUCAUCUGAUCAUAAAAUACCACUUAUUGAGUCUGCAAAUUCAGUAAAUAAAAGACCCUAUAAAUACCCUGGUGUGAAGAAAGAUAUCAUAGAGAAACUGAUUCAUAAAAUAUUAGAUCAACGAAUGGGAAGGACCUAAAUUGAUAGAAGAAGGUUUAGACAUUCCUCAAGGUGAGGAGGAACUGAUGGCCAUCUCAUUACAAGCUUUCACUGAGGCUGUUGGAUAUCAUACAAUUAGGGUCACUAGUUAUCAUGACAAAAAAAUCUUCACAAGUCCUAAUUGACACUGAAAGUACCUAUAACUUCAUUGACCAAGGGGUAGCCAAUAAGUUGGGUUGUAAUGCCAGUACUAUAGUUGAACAAUCUGUUCGUGUGGCUAAUGGUAGACAAGUGCAAACUACAUCUGUUUGCAAGAAUUUACAACAUUCUCUUCUGAUUUUUUGUUGUUACCCUUGGGUAAUGUGGAUAUUGUUUUUAGGGUAAAAUGAUUAAAUACCCUUGGUAGGAUUCUAUUUGACUUUAAAAAUAGGAUAAUAAAAUUUAUAUAUCAAGGAAAGAGGUGUGUGUUGAGAGGUGCUACCAGUCAGCUUAAGUCCUCUAAGGUCAGCUCCUUGAUCAAGAAGAUAAAAUCUGAGGCCAACUGCUACAUGAUAGAGGUGGUUGAUACGACAAUAUCAGAGAUAUAUUGUCACAACACAUAAGCUACGAAAGGUACAGACCUACAUCCUGCAUUAUCUGCAUUAGUGCAAAAGUUUUCUAUCAUCUUUGAGACACCUACUAUAUUACCUCCACAUAGAGGAUCAUAUGAUCAUAAAAUACCACUUAUUGAGUCUACAAAUCUAGUAAAUAAAAGAUCCUACAGAUAUCCUGGUGUAAAGUAGAGAAACUGAUUCAGGAAAUAUUAGAUCAAUGCAUGGAAAGGACGUGAAUUGAUAGAAGAAGGUUUUGACAUUCCUCAAGGUGGGAAAAAACUGAUGACCAUCUCAUUACAAGCUUUCACUGGGGCUGUUGGAUAUCAGACAAUUAGGGUCACUGGUUAUUAUGAGAAAAGACCCUUACAUGUCCUAAUUGACACUGGAAGUAUCCAUAACUUCCCUGACCAAGGGGUGACCAAGAAGUUGGGUUGCAAUGCCAAUACUAUAGUUGAACAAUCUGCCAGUGUGGCUGAUGAAAGACAAGUGCAAACUACAUCUGUUUGUAAGAAUUUACAAUGGUUGUUACAAGGCACCAUAUUCUCUUCUGAUUUUUAUUGUUACCCUUGGGUAAUGUGGAUAUAGUUUUGGGGGUGCAACGGUUAAAUACCCUUGGAAGGAUUUUAUUUGACUUUAAAGACAAAAUAAUAGAAUUUAUGUAUCAGGGGAAUAGACAUGUAUUGAAAGGUACUACUAAUCAACUUAAGUCCUCUAAGGCCAGCUCCUUGAUCAAAAAGAUGGAAUAUGAGGCCAACUGCUAUAUGAUAGAGGUGGUUGAUACAACAAUAUUAGAGAUAUAUUGCAACCUACAAGCUACAAAAGGUACAGAGCUACAUCUUGCAUUAUCUGCAUUAGUGCAAUAGUUUUCUAUCAUCUUUGAGACACCUACUACAUUACCUCCACGUAAAGGAUCAUAUGAUCAUAAAAUACCACUUAUUAAGUCUGCAAAUCCAGUAAAUAAAAGAUCCUACAGAUAUCCUGGUAUGAGUAGAGAAACUGGUUCAGAAAAUGUUAGAUCAAUAAAUGAAAAGGACCUAAAUUGAUAGAAGAAGGUUUUGACAUUCCUCAAGGUGGGAAAGAACUGAUGACCAUCUCAUUACAAGCUUUCACUAGGCUGUUGGAUAUCAGACAAUUAGAUUUUUAUUGUUACCCUUGGGUAAUGUGGAUAUUGUUUUUGGGGUACAACGGUUAAAUACCCUUGGUAGGAUUUAUUUGACUUUAAAGACAAAACAAUAGAAUUUAUGUAUCAGGGGGAAAGGCAUAUAUUGAAAUGUGCUACUAAUCAACUUAAGUCCUCUAAGGCCAGCUCCUUGAUCAAGAAAAUAAAAUAUAAGGCCAACUGCUACAUGAUGGAUAUGGUUGAUACUGCAAUAUCAAAGAUAUAUUGUCACAACAUACAAGCUACGCAAAGUACAAACCUACAGCCGGCAUUAUCUAUAAUGGUGCAGUAGUUUUCUAUUAUCUUUGAGCCACCUACUACAUUACCUCUACAUAGAGGAUCAUUUGAUCAUAAAGUACCACCUAUUGAGUUUGUGAAUUCGGUAAAUAAAAGACCCUAUAAAUACCCUAGUAUGAAGAAAGAUAUAAUAGAGAAACUGAUUUAUAAAAUAUUAGAUCAAUGAAUAGGAAGGACCUAAAUUGAUAGAAGAAGGUUUAGACAUUCCUCAAGGUGAGGAGGAACUGGUGGCCAUCUCAUUACAAGCUUUCACUAGGGUUGUUGGAUAUCAGAUAAUUAGGGUCACUGGUUAUCAUGAGAAAAGACCCUUACAAGUCCUAAUUAACACUGGAAGUACCCAGAAAUUCAUUGACUAAGGAGUCUCCAAGAAGUUGGGUUAAAAUGCCAGUACUAUAGUUGAAUAAUCUGUUAGUGUGGCUGAUGGUAGACAAGUGCAAACUGGUUUUGUUUGCAAGAAUUUGCAAUGGUUGUUACGGGGCACCACAUUCUCUUCUGAUUUUUUGUUGUUACCCUUGGGUAAUGUGGAUACUGUUUUGGGUGUGCAAUGGUUAAAUACCCUUGGUAGGAUUCUGUUUGACUUUAAGAACAGGGUAAUAAAAUUUAUGUAUCAAGGAAAGAUGCAUGUGUUGAGAGGUGCUACCUUUCAACUUAAGUUCUCUAAGGCCAGUUCCUUGAUCAAGAAGAUGGAAUAUAAGGACAACUGCUACAUCAUAGAGGUGGUUGAUACUACAAUAGCAGAGAUAUAUUGUCACAAAUCUAUGCAAGGUACAGACCUACAUCUUGCAUUAUCUGCAUUGGUGCAGGAGUUUUCUAUUAUCUUUGAGCCACCUACUAUAUUAUUCCACAUAGAGGAUCAUUUGAUUAUAAAAUACCACUUAUUGAGUCUGCAAAUCUAGUAAAUAAAAGACCCUACAGAUACCCUGGUGUGAAAAAAGAUAUCAUAGAGAAAUUGGUUCAGGGAAUGUUAGAUCAAGGUGUAAUUCAACAUAGCUCUAGUCCUUAUGCUUCUCCUGUUGUGUUGGUGGUAAAAAAAAUAGUAGUUGGAGGUUAUGUGUUGACUACAGAGAGGUAAAUCAGCUGACUAUAAAAGAUAAAUUUCCCUUUCCCAUUAUUGAAGAUUUGUUAGAUGAAUUACAUAGAGCUUCUGUGUUGCUGGUAACCACUAACUAAGAAUGAUUGAGAGUGAUGCUCAUAAACAAUUUUCAAAACUCACGAAGGUCACUAUGAGUUCUUGGUUAUGCCUUUUGGCCUGACUAAUGCACUAUAUUUAUUUCAAAGCUUGAUGAAUUAUGUUUUCAAACCAUUACUAAGGAAAUCAUUGUUAGUCUUCUUUGAUGACAUUUUAAUCUUUAGUAAUUCUAUGUCUGCUCAUAUUGCUGAUGUUAAUGUGGUGUUUGAACUUAUGGUUAAGCAUCAGUUGUAUGCAAAAAUGGCUAAGUAUGCAUUUGGGGUGCCUAAAGCUAAGUAUUUAGGCCAUGUGAUUAGUGCAUAAGGUGUUGCUAUUGAUCCAAAAAAAAAUACUAGCAGUUCAACAGUGGCUACUUCCUAUCAAUCUUAAGUAGUUAAGAGGAUUUCUUGGUCUGUCUAGUUACUACAUAAGGUUCAUAAAGGGGUUUGGUGUUAUUUGCAGGCCCUUACAUGAUCUACUCAAGAAAGAGGGGUUCUUGUAGAAUGAAAUUUCUACUAAAGCUUUUGAAGAACUCAAAUAGGCACUGAUUUCUACUCUUGUUUUGGCUAUGCCUAAUUAUAAUCAUACCUUUGCGGUAGAGACAGAUACUAGUGGCAAGGGUAUAGCGGUUGUAUUGAUGCAAUAAGGGCAUUCACUUGCUUAUAUUAGCAAGCCCUUUGUACCCAAACAUCAAGCUGUAAGCGUUUAUGAUAGAGAGUUGUUAGCACUGCUCUUUGUUGUUUCACGAUGGUCUCAUCACUUAUUGGGAAGGCAUUUCAUCGUUUAAAUUGAUCAAAAAGCUCUCAAGUAUCUAUUAAAUCAACACAUUCAUACUGAUUUUUAGGUGUACUGUAUCUCCAAGCUUAUGGCAUUUGAUUUCGCCAUUGAAUACAAGAAAGGGGUGGAAAACAAAGUUGUUGAUGCCUUGUCCAGGAAUCCUAGUGCUGAGUUUCUAGCCAUUUCUAUCUUAGGUCCUCAUGGUUCCCUUUUGGAUCAAAUUAAUAUCUCUUGGACUAUUGAUCAACACCUGGAAGCUAUUAUUGGUAAGGUGCAGACAUCACCUUACAAAUCUUUUACUUGGUUUCAUAACCAGUUGAGAUGAAGGAUAGGUUGAUAGUUGGUAAUAAUGCUCAGCUUAAAAGGUCCAUCAUUGCUCUUAGGCAUGAAUCUACCCAAGGAGCCAAUGCCACUAUUAAAAUACUGCAAUCACUAUUUUAUUAGAAAUCACUGAUGCAAGACACUAGAGAUUUUACUAACAAAUGUGAUAUUUGUCAAAGGCAUAAGUAUGAUGUUACUCAUAGUCCAAGUCUUUUACAACCUUUGCUAGUACCUGAUGGUGUUUGGACAGACAUUUGUUUGGAUUUCAUUGAAGGUUUGCCUAAGUCCAAUGGUAAAGAAGUUAUACUGGUGGUAGUGGAUAGAUUGAGGAACUAUGGGAAUUUCUUGGCUUUGUCUCGCCCUUAUACAACCCAAUCAGUGGCUCAAUAUUUCCUUGACAAUAUCUUUAAGUUGCAUGGCAUGCCUAACACAUUACCUAGUGAUAGAGAUUCCAUCUUCCUUAGUAAUUUCUGGCAAGAAUUGUUUUAUUUGCAAGGUGUUCAGCUUUAGAGAACUACUGCAUACCAUCCACAAACUGAUGGACAAAUAGAAGUGUUGAAUAAAACAUUGGAAACUUACUUGAGGUGUUUUUGCUCUGACAAGCCUAAGGAAUGGUGCUCUUAUUUACCCUUGGUUGAAUGGUGGUACAAUACCACCUAUAUAUCAUACUACUAUCAAGUGUACCUCUUAUGAGGUUUUGUGUGGAAAAAACUGACUAUUCAUCUUCCCUAUUUAGCUGGUUAGGUUGCUACUGAAAUGGUUGACCGAUCUUUGGUUGCUAGAGAAUCCACUAUUCAGUUGUUAAAAUUUCAUAUUGGUAGAGCUCAACAGAGAAUGAGAGAUACUGCUAACAAGCACAGGUCUGACAAGUCAUUUAUGGUAGGAGAUUGGGUCUAUUGAAGCUUCAACCUUACAGGCAAACUUCUGUUGUUGUAGGAUCAUUUCCUAAACUGGCAGCCAAAUACUAUGGACCUUAUCUUGUUGAUGCUAUGAUUGGUGCAGUGGCUUAUAGGUUGUUACUUCAAGCAGAUGUCCUUACCCAUCCUGUUUUUCAUGUUUCCUAAUUGAAAAGGUGUUUAGAGGUUCCUCUAGUAUCACUCAUCCUCCUGUUAUUCAGCUGUCAAGUCCCUAUUGUCCUAGCCCUGAGGCUAUUAUUGAUAGAAGACUUGUGAAGACAGGCAAUAAAGUUGUGGAACAAGUUUUGGUUACAUGGUCUGACCUUGAUAAGACUCAAGCUACUUGGGAAUUUGAGUCUGAGUUGCAACAUAGAUUCUCUACAUUCCAUUUUUUGAGGACAAGGAGGUAUUGAUACAAUGUUGAGAAGAAGGGAUUAAAUAGGAAAGAAGAAAAUUGUUACAACAGAAUUUAAAAAUUAAGUGUUACUGUUCAUUGUUCAUAAAAUUAGUUACUAUUGUUCCAAGUUGUAGUUAGAUAGUUAUUCUAUUAGUUGGUUAGCUUAGCUCUAAAUUGCAGCUAAUGAGGUGUAUAAAUAACUGAUGUAAGCUACUACUUGAUUCAUUCAUUCAUAAUACAAUUUCUGUUCUUCUCUCCCAUGCUUCUUUAUCUUUACCGAUUUUCUCGGAUAAUUCCCUGACAUUGGUACCAUCUUAUUGGAGGAUUAUUCUCCUAGAUUAACACAUUUCACCCAAGUUGCUUGUUCUUGCAUCAUUACCGCCCCCUAAAAACCCCACAGUCAUGCCCACAAACAUAACAUGGAUAAAUGAACAUGGACCCAACAAUCUCCCCCUCCAUCUAAGGGUCAAAAUGGGCCUUCAAAUAGAGGAACUGUGGACAUGUUUCAGACCAAAUUUCUACAAAACUCAGGCUUAUCUGCGAUAACCAGCUUUUUUAAGAAAAAUCUCUUUCUUUUUUAUUCAUGCGGUGUUAAAGUAAUUGAUCAAUCACUUAUUUUGUUGUUUCAACAGGAUUUAGAAAGUGGACCAAUUACUGAUGAUGCAACACUUGAGCCUCUGGAUGACGAAACUUGUAGUGAGAUGCAACUUCUACAAAGGAAUAACAUUAAUCGUAUUGUUCAAGAGAAGAACUGGGAUGAACUUAAUGACUUCGGAGGAGCCACUGGAUUUGCUGAAGCAUUGGACAGUCACCUGGAAAAUGGAAUUGUUGGUGACACUGAAGAUAUUUGUAUACGUAAUGCAACAAUCAAGUUUCCUCAAACUUGCGUACAAGUUGUAGUCAUGUUCUUCUAUGUCCUUUUUGAAGCACUCAAAGGCUGGACAAUUUCCUUGCUUGCGGUGGCUAUAAUACUUUCUCUUGCCUUUGAAAUUGACGAAGAAGGGAUACAAAAGUGUUGGCUUGACAAUUUGAUACUGCUUAUGUCCGUACUUGGACUUAUUAUGUUUAAGUUGGUGGGGAUAUAUUGGGAGGACAAAAAAUUGAUGAAAAAGAUGAAGGACCAGAAAAGGAAGAUGCAGAGGCAGAGAGCGGCAGAGGAGGUCCGUGUUAUUACAGGAGGAAUUGAGGGUCUGGUUCCAUACUCUGAUCUUGUUUAUGGUGAUAUUAUUUUUUUAAGAAGGGGAGACUUAGUCCCUGCAAAUGGGAUAUUUGUUUCUAAUUGUGGGGAAGCUUUAGAGGUACGAGAUGAUGAUGAUGAUGUGGAGUUGUGUAUCAAUGAUCAGAACCCUUUCUUAUUACUUGGUUCCGAAGUGAUUAAGGGUGAUGCUAAGAUGAUAGUGACAUCAUCGUUUGUUGGCAAUGAGGCAGAUCAAUGGACUGAAAGAAUGAGACGAGCAAUUACCAAAAGUACUUCACAUAAAGGUUUCAAUCUCGAUGCUUGUUUUGAGAAGUUGCACACUAAGAUUCAUGUUUUCGGGAUUGCCAUCAGCAUUCUAACCUUUGUGGUUAUGUUCGUGCGCUUUAAAUUCCAUCAAAAAGAUGAGCACGAAUAUAGACUAGAAAUCAAGGAAGAACCAGCAAAAUUCAGUCAGAUAGUAAAUUCCAUCAGAAAAUUUGCCAGAGAUGCCAAACUGACAACCUUGCUUUGUGUUUCAUUGGUUGGGAUAAGGGAAGGAUUAUCUCUUGUUGUUUCCGGUGCAAUUUUCUAUUGGAAACGAAAGAUAGUAGUAUCUUACCAUGACUACUCCAAAAUUGAUACAUCAUUGCUUCUAAAGGUAGAAUCAUCGGUUACUAUUGUUUGUUCGAUGAAGAAUGGUUGGUUAAUUGAACAGAAUCAUCAGGAAGUUAUCAGAGAUAUUGCAGUUAAAACACUCACAGAAUUAGGUAAUGUGAAGACAAUAUUCAUCUCCGAAGAUGAUGUUGAUGAACUUAAAAACAUCGUCUCUGAAGUUGGAUUCAACUCGGAUGAUGAUACUCUGGUGGUUAACGGUGAGGACUUUUAUCAAUUGAGUGAUGCUGACAAGAUGGAGAAAAUAGAUAAAACAAUCUGUAUAAUGGGCAAUUGCUCCGUUCGUCACAAGCUGCUUCUUGUAAAAUACUUGAAGCUAAAAGGCAAAGUGGUUCUAAUGCUUGGAGAACGCACAUCUGAUGGUUUGGUAAUCCAAAAGGCGGACCUUGGCAUGUACAUCAAUACAUGGAGUUUCGAUUACCUAAUAGGUAUGUUGAAACUUGGAAGAUUUAUUUGUGAAAGUAUGAGGAAAUUUAUCCAAAUAGAGCUCAUUCUGACUCUAGCUAGUUGGUUAAUAAACUUGAUAACAGUCAUGAUAAUGGGAAAUGCUCCAUUAACAACUCUUAAGUUGAUUUGGCUCAGUUUUCUUGUUACAUUUCCUGGAGGCCUAGCAUUGUUCUCAGGGCAACGGGAGGAUGCACGUUUGUCUGUCGACAAACAUACACUAAUAAUGAAGGCUAUUUGGAGGAACAUUAUAGUUCAACUUACUUAUCAGAUUGUGAUUUUUGUGGUCCUUCAAUGCAAAGGCAAAGCCAAUAAUAUCCAUAGUGAAUUCAUAAUUUUCAAUGGAUUUGCUCUAUGCCAGUUUUUCAGCAUAUUAUGUGCUAGAGAGCCAGAAAAGAAGAACAUUUUCAAUGGUUGUAGAUGUAAUUAUUGGUUUUGGGCAGCAUGUGGAAUUUUUCUCAUUUUGCAUGUUGGAAUUGUUGAGGGAGCAACUCUAGUAAUCAGUGACAAUAUGCAAGUAGAGUGGACGUUAUGGGCAGUAUGCUUUACAAUUGGUGUUGCUACAUGCUUUUUUGAUUGGGCAGGAAAGUGUACAUUACAAUACAUUGCACCUAUUGCACAAUAUUUUGCUUUUGCUUCUAUGUGUACUCUUCAACCACUUGUGAGUGAGUAAUUAUAUGUUUUGUAUUAUAGAUUCAUGUAAAUAUAGAUGAGAUUGAAGGGUUCAAGAACAAUUAACGACCCUAUAUGUAAGUAUUUUAACUAAUUGCUCAUUAAUUAUAUGUUCCCCCAUCCUCCCACUUUUUUUAAAUUUUUUUCAAAUUUGCAAUUUUAGGAUUAAAAUGGAGAGUGUUUAUCACCCUAGUAAUCCCUCUACUUGCAUGUCUUACUAUUUUAUCACCCUAACUAAUUGCUCAUUAAUUAUAUGUUCCCCCAUCCUCCCACUUUUUUUUUUUAAUUUUUUUCAAAUUUAUAAUUUUAGGAUUAAAAUGGAGUGUGUUUAUUACCCUAGCAAUCCUUCUACUUACUUGUCUUACUAUUUUUAAAAUUGACUUUAAAGAAUGUCAUUUUUUAUAUUUAGUAUUGCUAUCUCAAUUUAUGUGAUGGUGUUGAAUUGAGUAUGAAAUUAAAAAUGAAAGAAAGAUUUUAAAGGUUAUGAUCUGAAACAAGUUAUAAAGACACUAGUGGCUGUAAAAGGUUUUAUUAACGUUAAAUGGAUACUAUAGAUUAAAUCUAUAUACAUAUAAAAGCAAAACUAAAACAAGACAAGAAGUCAUGUGGCAGCACAAUAGAAAGACAUGUGGAAGUUUUUAGGACAAGGUUAUAAACAUUGUAAUAAAAAUUAUGAAUUAAAAUAUAAGAUAUUAUUAUUUAGGUUAAUAUUUUAUUUUUAUUUUUUGAAAGGGAUAAGCUUAUGUUUCUAAUUUCAAACUAAUGAUAAUUAAAAAAUCUCUCUCUAUAUAUAUAUAUAAGUAAAACUAAAAGCACUAAAAGAAGCCACGUGCCAGCAUAAUAAAAAGUCAUGUGGCAGUUUUUAGGACAAGGAUAUAAAAAUUGUAAUAAAAAUUUUGAAUUAAAAAAUUAGAUAUAUUUAAAUUUUGAAACUAUUAGAUUUUGUAAUUAAAAUAUUAUCAUUAACUUGAUUUCAGGAAUGCUAUAUUGAAGAGUUGUAAAUGAACUCUAACUACUCAUAACUUAUUCCUUUCAAUAUUAUAAAAUAUAUUUUAAUAUUAAAUAAAAUAAUAAUAAUAAUAAUAAUAAUAAUAAUAAUAAUAAUAAUAAUAAUAAUAAUAAUAAUAAUAAUAAUAAUAAUAAUAAUAAUAAUAAUAAUAAUAUCUCUCUUGUAGUAGGAUCGUAGGUAUGUAGUAGUACUAUACAUUAGUAGCAGGAGGAGGGGUAAUAUAAAUAUAAUAAUAAUAUUAAUAAUUAUUAUUAUUUUAUUAAUUUUAAUACUUAUUUUAAUUCAAAUAUAUUAUUUAUUUGAUAAAUAUACAUUAUAUUUGAAAAAAAUAAAGAUAAGAAUGAAUAACAAACUAAUCUUCUUUUAACAAAUUAAUAUGUUAUUUGAAUUUCAAUUUAAAUUUUAAUGAUAUUUAAAUUUAAAUUUAAAUUUUAAUGAUAUUUGAAUUGAAAUGGAGUUCUAACUUCUUAACCUUUUUUAUAUAUAAUCCUAAAUAAAUUUUAAAAUAAUAAUAAUAAUAAUAUUUUAAUAAAUAAUAAUAGUAGUAACAAUAGUAGUACAUGAUGUUAAUAGUAAUAAUAGUAAAUAAUAAUAAUUAGUUGCAAUGUAUAAAUUGUAAUAAAAAGUUUUAAUAAGUUAUAAAGUUUUAAUUUAUAAUUUUUUUAAAAAAACUCAGUGUACUAUCACCUCACUUCUUUAUGUCAAAUCAUGUAAACGUAAUAAAUUAUUACGUUUUACAAAAAAAUUGCAAACGUAAUAAACUAUUACUACAUUUUACUAAAACUUUUUAAUAUACACACCCGCUAUCAAACCAUUAAAAAAGAGUAUAAAACGUAAUAAAUCAUUAUGUUUAGCUUGUUUUGGUAACUUAUUAAAUAUGUGAUCUAUUUUUGUCACUUUAUUCAUAUUUUGAUUUAUUUUGGUUCCAAGUUUCCAUAAGUCACAUCUCAAUAUUUUCUAGAAAAUGACUUCCCUUAACCCACGAGGGAAGUCAUUUCCUUUUAAAUGGAGGAAAAUGAGUUCCUUUGGAAAAUAUUUUUCCAAAGUUAUAUUACAACCAAACAAGAAAAAAUAGGAAAAUGUUUUCCAAAAAAUAUCUUCCAUCAUACCAAACACACCCUAAGUGAUUUAUCUUAUUUAUGCAAAAUUAAGUGAUGUACUUAAAAGAACAUGAUAAAUUCAUGUAGACUAAAUAAAUUCUUUUAAUAAUUUUUAAAAAUAAAAUAGAGACUAAUUAACCCUCCAAAAACAAUUAAAAUUUAUGUAAUUUUUACGAAAUUAAUCUCAAUAUUACUAAUAGGCAAAAUAUGAAUUGAACUGUCUUACAACGUGGACAGCUCGCCUACCGCAUGAAAGGUCAACAUAACAAACUACAGCGAGACCAGGACCAUGCCAUGAAAGAUCAAAAUGCCCAGUUAAUUAUUCAUUUCGUUUUUAAAAGAACGACAUAUUUUGACUUGAUUUAAAAUUAAAAAGAUAAUUAAUCUUAUGAUAUUGAAUUAAAGAUAUAUUAUAUAUAUUAAAAUGUUAUUUAAUUUUGCAGCCUUAAACAUAUUAUGUGUAAAUUUGAAUAAAAGAGUUGCCGAAAAGAAAAAUUAAAGGAUCAUUUUCUAAAAAUGGAUUAAAUAGGAAAGCAUAUCAAACAAAUUAAAACGGAAAGAAUAUUUCUUUUUUAAGCCAUAGGUCGAAAAGAUAAAUUUAAGAUUUAAAAUUUAUAAGCUCGAAAAUUUAUUAUGUAUAGUGAAUUUCUCAAUAAAUAUAUAGCGUUAAAGAUAAUUAUUGAAUUAUGUGAAAAAUGUACCUUGCAUGCUAGCUCCAUCCCAGCUAAUAAGUAUGGACUUGCUAUCCCAAUUUACGCGAUGACACUUUUUUCCAUCUGUAGUUUUUUAGAUUUGAAAUAUAUCUAAUUUAAUAUUUUCAUUUUACCCCCACAUGAAUGUGAGUUGCAUGCAUAAAACCACAACUAUAGCCACAAAAUUAUACAGCAUAUUUAACAUCAAAAAUUGAUAAAAUCUUAUAACUACACCAAUAAUGUAUAUAUAAUGAAAAAUUUCAAACUUCACAACGAAUGUUAAAUAAAUUGAAAACAGUGAAAAUAUCUUUUAGUCCCAGGCUUCUUCGUCCCCCAAUCGAACUCCUUUAUCCAAUUGGUCACCACGUAUAAAGUUCAUGUAAAUUCAAUAAAUUUUUACUAUAAUUCUUUAUAUGUUAGAAGAACUAUUAAAUACCUAUAAGAAAUUUAGUUGUUCACUCAGUUAUUAUUGUAAAUUAACCUAAUAUCAUUAUAAGAACUUAUAAAAUUAAAAUCCAUAAUUGGCCUCUGUUACUAGACUACAUGUCCAACCGGAGUUCGAGAAAGUACCCUGGAACAAUCUCAGUUGGUUAUGGUUUAUAGAAAACUACACCACCAAUAAUAACAUAUUCAGAAUAAUUUUAUUAAAUAAGGUUUAGAAAAGAUAAAAUAUACAUAUAUUUUAUCCCUUCCUCAUAGGUAGAAAUGUUACGUUGUUUCCAAUAGACUCUCGAUUUUAGAAAAAAUAAUUCAAAGCAGUUAAAAAAAGAAAGCAACUGAACCAUGUAUAGAGGGGCUAAUUAAGCUACGAGCACAUAAACAUAUAUCAAAGUGUUCAAAAUCAAGUAAAAUAAAUACAUAAGAAAUGCAGAACUAAAAGUGAUAUCAUAACAUAGAGGAGAUGAGAUGAGAAAUAUAUAACAAAAACAUACCUAGUAUAAACUCAAAAAUAGAAUACGAGAAGAAUAGAGUCGGAUACAUAAAUCACACCACUAUUAUAAAAAUAGAAAAAUUAUUUUUAAUAAAUGCUAAUGUUAGAAAUGAGAAAUAUGUAGCUUACAAUUGUAAGAGAGCCAACGUCCCAAUGCCGAGGAGAUCACCAUUUGCCGAGGUCUUCGGUCUCCGCACACACUUAAGCAGACCAAAGG
RNAcentral lists this long non-coding RNA (23610 nucleotides) under Capsicum annuum. Its description in RNAcentral is "long non-coding RNA (CANN_LNC008409)". The record is from RNAcentral. Lineage: Eukaryota; Viridiplantae; Streptophyta; Magnoliopsida; Solanales; Solanaceae.